This 10714-nucleotide long non-coding RNA is filed under the name Arachis ipaensis. RNAcentral describes it as "long non-coding RNA (AIPA_LNC001848)". Lineage: Eukaryota; Viridiplantae; Streptophyta; Magnoliopsida; Fabales; Fabaceae. The record is from RNAcentral.
AGGUCAACAAUCGAAUUAUUAUAAAAACCUGAAGCUGAUGCGCAUGGUUGAUCUUUCAAGUAAUAAUCUGACAGGAACAAUGUCUCCACAACUGUUCAGCCUCCCUCAGUUGCAUUUCUUGAACCUAUCCCAUAACAGGCUAACAGGAACCAUACCAAAAGAGAUUGGAAACAUGACACAACUGGAGUCUCUUGAUUUAUCCAAAAAUGAACUCACGGGACAGAUUCCUGAGAGUAUAUCCAGUUUGUCUUUCCUCGAUAACUUGAACCUGUCAUUCAAUAACUUGAGCGGCCAAAUCCCAUCAGGGACCCAACUUCAGAGCUUCAGUGAGCUUAGCUAUAUUGGGAAUGCUGAUCUUUGUGGACCUCCCCUUCCCAAAAACUGCUCAAAUCAUGGCAAUGACACAAAAGCUUUGGGUGAGAAUGAUGAUGAUGGUGAUGAAUCAGAUUUUCUGAGCAGCCUCUAUGUGGGCUUAGGAGUUGGCUUUGCUGUAGGCUUUUGGGGAGUUUGUGGUGCCAUUUUCUUCAGUUGCAAGUGCAGACAUGCUGCUUACUUCAGAUUUCUGUAUGACUUGAGAGACCGAUUUUAUGUCCUGCUGCUCACAAAUCUCAACUCCUUUCACUGAUAUCCAAUUCUCUGCAGGUAACCUCUUAAUUACGGCAUAACUAAAUAUAUACUCUCUAUUUUAUUAUUUUUGUUACCAUCUAACAUACAUAUUUAAAAGGUCAAAUGUUUUGAGUUUUAUUUUCUGUUAUAUAUGGACGUGCACUCUUAGGAACCAAUAUAUUUAUUUCUUGGAUAAAGUUGCACAAAUGAGUUGAAUGGGUAGAGAUUAGAAACAAAGAAGUUUAAUUUCUUAUCUUUGCAGGUUCUUUUGAGAAAACAUAAUACAUCAAGAUCUCAUCAGCUGCACUUACCAAAAAGAUCCAGGAGACUUGUGCUAUUUUAGCAUGUAUCAAGUGUAUUGUCAGUAUCACUAGUUUAUUAAUGUAUCCCAAUGUCACUUUUAUAUCAUAAGGAGAAAGUAGCGUAGAUAUAGUUUCUUAGUUUGGAUGUGAUGCAUUAAUAACUAGGAUUUAUUUCUAGUGUGCUUGUUCUACAUAGAGUCAUAGACAUGCCAAGUGAAGAUGUUUUCUUACAAAUAGUUUGUGCUUUGCCAUAAGCUACUACUGUGUGUACUAGAUAAUAACUAAUAAGGAAAUAAAGGGUUAAUAUUGUUUGAAUGUAUGUAUAAUAAAUUAUUAAUUCAGUAAAAGUGCUGCAAACUACUCCUUAAUAAAUUUUCAUGGUUCAAUAUUCAUCUUUUCGUUUUUUCUUUUGGUUUUACACAACACAUACUCACACACAUUACUAUAAGUUUUAUAUUCCACUUCUUGAAUUUAAGUGUUUAACCGGCUAAUUUUUUUUUAUAUUGUUUAAAUAUAUGUGUAAUACAUUGCUAUUGGAAGAUUAGGUGUUUUUUUUAUAUGGUGUUUUACUCAAAUCGGACGGUCCGAUUUGUUUGAAGAAAAAAGUAAACUACAAAUCGGAGAGUCCGAUUUGUUUGAAAAAAAAAAGCACUACAAAUUGCAUGGUCCGUUUUGUAUUUUUUAUUUUUUUAUUUUUUAAAAUAAAAAUCGGACGGUCCGAUUUUAACAUUAAAAAUUUUUUUAUUUUCGAAAUCACAAAUAGGACGGUCCGAUUUGUGAUUGUUUGGGAAAAAAAUAAAACAAAUCUGAGGUACCGAUUUGUAGCUCCUAUAGCAAAGUUAAACACUUCUCUUCUCACAUCAUUGGGAAAUACACUCUUCUCUCUCACACGAAAAACAAAAAGUGGUGUUUAACCUAGGAUUCGAACUGUGCAGCUUUUUUAGCCGCCAACAAAUUCUCAACUAUGCCAUUACCUCAGCUUUUUUAACCACAUCAACUGUCACAACACAUUCUGGCGAUUUAAAAUUAUAUGUAAAUCUAGAUCUAGAACAUGUUUGAUAAGCUAUAAGUUACGAUGCAAUUAGUCAUUGAUUACUCAUGCAGAGAAGCUCUUUAACUUGCUAAAUAAAACACCGGUAGCUUAAUAGUAUUUUUCAGACAGUUUUUUAAAAGUUCAAUAACGAUUCAACUAUCUCAUCUAAUUCCACUGUGAACUCUUCAACUCUCAAUUACAUGGAUCUAUCAGUCAACUUAAACCUUUUUAUUCACAGCCUUGAGUGGCUCUCUCGCAUUUCCUCCUUGGAAUAUAUAAACCUUGGUUACACUAAUCUUUACAUGGAAACUAACUGGCUUCAUUGGAUGACGGCGCUCCCAUCAUUGGUGGAGCUGUACUUAUACAGCUGUAAACUUGAAGACAUAAGUCCAUCUCUUGUAUAUGCUAAUUUUAGCACAUCACUCCAGCUUAUUUCUCUUCCAAGUAAUUCUUUUCACUCAGAGUUGCAAUACUGAAAAAUUUGAAAUUCUUGUCUUUGGGAUCACCAAUCAUCACCUUUGAUUUUGAUCUCCAAUGGAUACCACCUUUCCAACUUGAGAAGCUGUCCCUUGGACGACUGCACCCUACACUUCCUCAAUGGAUAUAUACACAGACAUCUCUCUAUUUUCUCAUCAUUGAAAACUCAGAGUUCUUGCUUGAAGCUGCUGACAAUAACAACAACUUUUGGAGAUUUACAUCCACAAUUCAGCAUCUAGAUUUGUACAACAACACAAUAGAAGGGGACUUGUCAGAAGUGUUGCUGAACUCCAGCAUCAUAGAGCUGGCAUCAAAUAAAAUAGAGGAGUGCUAGGGGCCAGCAGAAUUUGUGAUGUUUAGCCAUCAAUUAGCCAUCAUCAAUAUUUUUAAUGGUAUGAGAUGAUAACCAAUGAUGUAGGAUUAAUCAUUUUUCUUUUGAUGGUUAAGUGCUGGCCAGAUUUUAACAAAAGUGCUGGUCCCUAGACUUUCUCAAUAAAAUAAAAUUUGAUCAUCUAAUAUUUAGUAAAAAUUUAUAAAAGUAAAAAAAAAUUAUAUGCUUCGACAUUUAAAACAAAAAUUUAAAAUAAUUAUUAUUUUAAGAAAUUUAUAAAAUUAUUAUUAAAAUCAAAGUUUAACUUAAAAAAAUGAGUAAUAAUUAUUUUAUAUUUUUUAAAGUAAAAUAAUUAUACACUGAUACAUAAUUUAAAAUAAAAUUAAAAUAUUUACAUUAGAAUACUAUUUUUUCAAAUACUUUUCUAUAAACAACAUUGAUGAUUGAAUUUGCAGAUAUUUCUACGUGAUUCAUAAGUAAAACUUUUAAACCUCUCUUACUCUUAACUCUUGAAAGUGGUACAUAUAGUUGGCCAUGUGUAAAAACUGGUUUGGACAAGUACAAUCCAACAUGAGAUAAAGUUUGUCCCUGAGACUUAUCAAUUGUCAUGGCAAAUGAUACUAUUAUGGAAACUGUCUUCGUUGGAAUCUAACUGGGACGGUUUCAUUUAUUGGUACCAUAUUCAUUCUUGGAAAAUCAAAGCAAUAUGACCAACAUUGUUACCCGUUAAGACUUCACAUUCUAUGACAUGAUUUUCAAGCUUCCUAAUUUGUAGCCUUGUACCAUUACAAAGACCACUGGAUUGGUCAAUAUUCCUCAGUAACAUCACUGGAACACCAACCUUGAGUAUUAAUUUAUGUGAAGGCAAACCAAAGCAAUUUAUGCUAUUCAGUAAUUAAGGACCAUAGAGAUCUAGUUGACUCUCCAUAUCCCUUCAUCCAUACAAAUGGAAUCCGAACUAAGAUAUAAUUUUUUUCCUCCAGGAAUGAUAGCCAUAAGAUGGUUGUUAACCUCUUCAACGAUGUCUAGUGUGGAAGCCAGUAUAGUUCUUGCUUUUAAAAGAAUGUAAUUUACAUUCUUUUGUAAAUUACAUCCACAACGUUACCCUUAAUUUCUGUCCACCCCUAUAAGAAAUAGCAAUGCUUGUAGAGUAAAGAGAGGCACAAAAUUUCAAAAUAAGAUUUUAAAACAAAAGCCACUAUCAAAAAGAUAUUAAGUAUUAUUCAAGAUCAUCAAGUUCUAUGGUGAUAUAACUUGAUGGCUUUCCAUCCCAUGUGAACUCGACCAAAUUAACCCUAGAGGCAAGCUGACCUAUCACAUCUACAAAAUAAAGGCACCAAUCUUUCCAUUAACAAAACACUAUUUGCUCAAAUUUUUCUCCAAAAAAUGACAUUUUUUUUCAAAGUUUCAUCCAUGUUGAAAUUAGAUUUUUUUAACUUUUUUAAAAAUAAAAAUAUAAAAGACUGUGUUAAUAAAUAGUUAGAACCUAAAAAUUGAAGUUCCUGAAAAAAAAUAUAGGUUAGUACNNNNNNNNNNNNNNNNNNNNNNNNNNNNNNNNNNNNNNNNNNNNNNNNNCAGGAAGGAAAUAAUAAAAAAUUAUUCCUUAAUAUAAUUUUUUAAUGAAACAAAUUUUAAAAAUAAGACAUGCUCCGUCACAAUAUAUUAUAUUAUAUUAUGUAAAAAUUUUCAAUCAAUUCAAAAGAUACAAAAUUAACAUUCACGACAAAAAUCCAAAAUAAAGUCAAACUCCUUUUCAUGGGUAAUAACUAAUUUUUACGGUUAGACUCUAUAAACUCUUGGGGUGUAUAUUUAGUUAUUAAAAGAUAAAAAGAGAAUCAAAUUUCACUUAAAUAAAUUUCACAAAAAUUAUACGAAUCUAUAAUACUUGAAACUUGAGAGGAAUAGCAACAACCAUUACUUAAAUCCAUAUCUGUCCACUAUAUACUCAUAAUAAAAAAGACAGCAAAUGGUGCAAAAUAAUAUAUAGGAUUAAAAAAUUAGACCUCAAAGAAUUAAACAACACAUGCAUUAUAGAUUAAUCUAACAAUGUAUUUAUCAACUAAAUAACCAUCUUCUUUAGACUCUGCAUGAAUUUUUUUGAACGGAACAAAAUUGAAUACAUUCGAUGGAAUUGAAGAAUCUUGUAUCGGACGCACAAUCGUGUCCCUCUUGAAGUGGAUUCUAAAUUUGUGUCUAGUAGACUUAAACUUAAUGGUAUUCAAAGCAACUUCAAAAUUAGUGACCAUGUACAUGUUGCCCUCAGCGAGUAGGCCCUCGAAGAUAGGAACAAAUAUGUCUUUAGCAGUACAUUGAAUUGUAUCCCCCUGAAUGCAUUAAUUUUAUAGAGUCAUAGAUAAAUAAGGUUUAUUGUUCAGUCAUUACCAAAAUAAAUCUCAAAUGCAAAGAGAAUAUUUUACCUCUUCAUCAAGGACAACCAUCUCAAUAGGUAUCUUCAUCCCAGAUUUUACAAAGAAACGGUCCAAAGUCUAAUGACACGUACUUUUAGCUUCCACACCUUAUGUGCGACCAGAAUUGAUACACUUGAUGAGAUCAUACCUAAUAAUAAAGGACCUCAUAUUUAGUGAAAGAUAAAAAAAAUAUUGUGAAACAAUUCACAUGGCACAUGAAAACUCACCUAGCUGCCAUUGCUACCUGCCACUACAAAAUUACUCAAAUAUUAUGAAUUUCAGUAUAGAUAAAGAGUAAGUGUGGUGAUCACCUAUGCUAUACUUAUAGAGAGUCACAGCAUUGCUCAGCCCCAGUAUUGGUAAAGAUUGCAAGAAUCUUUACAUUUCUAUCAAAAUCCAACUAAAAAAAAAAGAAAAAUUUUUUAUAUAUAGCACCAGUUUUUUGUUUCUUAAUCUGAUAUAAUUCCCAAAAGAUUUGUUAACAGUACCUUUAAUAUGACCAAAGAUUGUGUUGAUCUCAGCAAGCCAUUUGUCUCUUUCACCCUGCAUCCGUUCUAUAAGCAUUUUUCUUUUAUGAUCCUCAGUUAAUUGCUUCAUGUGCUUGACCUUCAGCCUAUAAUAGUAGAUAAUUCUAUCUCAACACGAUCUCUCUCAAUCUGACGCUGCGGUGGUUGCGAACUUGCGAUUUGGGGAGCUAGGGUUCUUCUUUCAAUAUCAAAAUUUCACGUCAAUUUCAGAGAGGAGAAGCGAGGAGUGUGGAAGUGGGACUGGGUUACAGGUUACAGGCUUAAGCCGUUGGAGAUUCAGUUUUUUUUUUAAGUCAAAACGGCACCGUUUGGAGGAGUUAUUAACAAACCAAAAAUUUAAAAAAAAAACNNNNNNNNNNNNNNNNNNNNNNNNNNNNNNNNNNNNUAUAAUAUCUAUAAAAUAAUUUCAACUUCAUUUUAUAAACUAAUUUUAAUUUUAAAUUUAUUUAUUUAUUUUUUGAAAAUAUCUACAUGUAAAUGGUCUCUCUGUAGACAUGAUACAUAACAGAGCACAAUAGCAUCGUUUGAUUCAUGUAGCCGACCCCACUUAAUAGGACAAGACUUUGUUGUUGUUGUUGUUGUAAUUCAUUUUUUGAAAAUAUUAAAUGAUAUUCUAUAAACAUCGAAUUGGAGAUGCUCUUACUGGUAUGUGAUCUGUGAUCCAUUAAUUAUAUAUAUAGGUCACAAGGAUAUAAUUCUAGUGUGAUGGUUCUACAUAGAUAUUCCAAGUGACGAUGUUUUCUUACUAAUAGUUUACGCCUUUCUAUAGGGCAUAGGCUACUGCUUUGUGUGCGUACAAGAUAAUAAGAAAAUAAAGAGUUAACAAUGUUUGAAUAUGUAUAGUAAUUUAUCAACUCGGUAAAAGUGUUGCAAUUUGCAGAACACUCCUUAAAAAAUUCUCAUGGUUCAAUAUUAUAUUCAUCUUACAUCUAUCUUUAGUUAUCUCAAUAAAUUCCUGUGCUAUUUUUUUUUCUUUUUUCUUUUUGGAUAAAGUAUGUUUUUUAUUGUUAACGUUUGUAAUUUUUAAAAAAAAUAUUUUUAACAUUUAGUUUCAAUUAAUUUUGUUUCUAACUUUAUUAGUAUCAAAAUUAUCCUUAAACACUAAUUUCAUAUAAAAUAUUAGAGACAAAAUUAAAUAAAUUAAAAACGUUAAAAACAAAAUUGAAUAAAAUUAACCAUUAAAAAUAUUUUUAAAAAAAUGUUAAAGGAGAAAAACUAUAAUUUUUAAGACAAAUCACAUGGUAGGAGAAAUUAGAGAGAGAUCAUAGGAUGAGAAGAUAUCACAUCUAACUCUUAAAAUCUUAAAGUAAGAUAUUACUGAGUCUCUCAUCUUAUAAACUCCUCACUCUUUCUUGUUUUCUUUGAUAUAGGACUAACUUCAACACUCUUCACACUUGCAACAUUAACAUAAAUUAAUAGUAAUAUUGUUAUCAUAAUCUGAGGAAAUCUUUUGGGUUUAGGACCCAUGGUUGCUUGCUUUCUUUCAAUUCCAAAUAAUUAGUAUAGUAUUGUAUUGCAUUUUGGCAGGUAUGCAUAUAUUAAUGGAAGAACCGCAUGGUUUAACUGUCUCUAACGUGCUUAAAUGCAGGAUUUUGUUAGCUAGCAUUUUUAGUUUAUAAUGUGUCGCACAUUGGAAGGAGUUGCUAACUUAGAAAUUUGAUGACGGCUCCACUGGUGAGUCAACUAAAAAUUUUGAUUGUACACGUUUGAAGAAGGGAAUUAAAAAUGGAAGAAUUGAAGCAACAAAGUUUGAAGCAAUCACGGCUUUGUAGUCAUUUUCCUCAUGUUCCGUGAAAGGCAUGCAUGAGACACAAAAUUACAAGACUAAAUAUCACUUCAUUACUAAUGCCCAAAAAUAUUUCACCAUAAAAUGUUCAGGGCCCUGUUAUACUUGCCUUGAUGAAAUAUUAAUUCUCCUAAAAAACGACAAUAACUGUUUUUUUCCUAGUUGAGUAUACUCAAUUAACACAAAUGCACAUUGGAGUUACUUAUUGACUUUAAACACCACAAAUACACAUUUGACUUUCCGGAGUGUCAAAAUAAAAGCAUUUAAUAUAUACUUCUGAGAAUUAUUAAAUUGAAUUACUAUAUGAUGAUUUAAUUAAUUUUAUCAUACUUUAUAACUAUAAGGAUUCCCUGCAUUGACCAAUGAGUAAUAGCUUAAAUGACAUAAUCUCUCCAUACUCAAUUAAGAGGUUGCGAGUUCGAGUCUCAUAUCUUUGGUAAAAAAAAAGGAUUCNNNNNNNNNNNNNNNNNNNNNNNNNNNNNNNNNNNNNNNNNNNNNNNNNNNNNNNNNNNNNNNNNNNNNNNNNNNNNNNNNNNNNNNNNNNNNNNNNNNNNNNNCUUGAUAAGUUAUUAGUUAUAAUGCAAUUAGUCAUUGAUUACUCAUGCAGAGAUGCUGACUUGCUCACGGCGAUGCUCAUGGUCCAUGCAAGGAGACUAAAUGGAGGUGGAUGCUGCACCAUAUUUGGGUGCGGGUUCGGGUUCGGGUUCUUCUCAUCUGUGUUUUUAACCUUUUUUUAUUAUUUUUUUAAAUAAAAGAAGAAAAAAAGAAAAAGCAUAUGAUCCAUGCUCACUACAGAAGAAAUUUUCCGCAGCUGGUGUGGGAAAACACAUGUCACUCAACUCUCCCCCAAAAUUUCACAUCCAUAACGAGUUUCUCAUCACAAGACUAACACACGAUUCAUCUGGUCUCUGUAUUAAUGACUUGUAUCGUAAUCGUAAUCUUCCUAUAUAUACACAUAGCUUAGCAAGAAAGCCUAAAAAUCAGGUUUGGUUGCUUAAAUUAACCAAUGGAUAGCAAUAAUAUAGUUUGGAAGAGGAAGUAUGUGUUUGCAAUGAUGUUGAGCACAUUAUGCAUGACAUGCAGUUGUUGCAACGAGAGAGAUAAAGAAAUCCUGUUGAAGUUCAAAGGAGAAGUCACUGACUCAUCGGGACUCCUAUCUUCAUGGCAGCAGGAGCAAGAUUGCUGCCAGUGGAAGGGAGUCACCUGUCACAACAUCACUGCCAGAGUCAUACACCUCACUCUCGAGUGUGAUUAUUAUGAUCUUGCAGAAUCUGUAGUAGAUGAUGAUUAUUAUUUGCAGAAAUGCCUUACAGGUGACAUCAAUCUCUCUCUAUUGGAUAUGGAAUACUUACAAUAUUUGGAUUUGAGUUUCAAUGACUUUACAACUAUCUCAUCUGAUUCCACUGUCAACUCUUCAACUCUCAAUUACAUUGAUCUAUCAUACAACAAAUACCUUUCUAUCAAGAGUAUUGAGUGGCUCUCUCGCAUUUCCUCCUUAGAAUACAUAAACCUUGGUUACACUAAUCUUCACAGGGAAACUAACUGGCUUCACUGGAUGACGGCGCUCCCAUCAUUGGUGGAGCUCUACUUAGAGAGCUGUAAACUUGAAGACAUAAGUCCAUCACUUGAAUAUGCUAAUUUUAGCACAUCACUCCAGCUUAUUUCUCUUGCAGACAAUUCUUUUCACUCAGAGUUGCCUAAAUGGAUAUUCAAUCUCAGUUCUCAUGUCCUUCAGAUUGACCUUUCAAGAAAUUAUUUUAUAGGCCAGCUACCAAAUACGUUGCCCAAUCUUCAAUUCUUGGAUAUGCUCGCCUUGAAUGAUAACUAUUUAAGUGGCUCAAUUCCAGAUUGGAUAGGCCAACUUCAGUAUCUUGCCGGUCUUGCCAUUCAUGACAACUAUUUUUCUGGAUCUCUUCCUACAAAUUUGGGAAAUUUGUCAUCCCUAUACAUCUUCAUGGCCAAUCAAAACCUCUUCUCAGGGGUCGUGUCUGAAAGAAAUUUUGCAAAACUGAAAAAUUUGAAAUACUUGUUUUUGAAAUCACCAUACAUCACCUUUGAUUUUGAUCCCCUCUGGAUACCACCAUUCCAACUUGAGAAGCUGUACAUUGGACGACUGCACCCUACACUUCCUCAAUGGGUAUAUACACAGACAUCUCUCUAUUCUCUCAGCAUUGAAGACUCAGAGUUCUUGCUUGAAGCUGCUGACAAUAACAACAACUUUUGGAGAUUUACAUCCACAAUUCAGCAUCUGGAAUUGUACAACAACACAAUAGAAGGGGACUUGUCAGAAGGGUUGCUGAACUCCAGCAUCAUAGAGCUGACAUCAAAUAAUUUCAAAGGUGGUCUACCUCGACUUUCAUCCAAUGUUGUUUUCUUCCAGCUAAGCAACAGUUCUCUAUCAGGGUCCAUCUCUCAUCUCUUGUGCCACAGCAAGAAAAGCAACAAUAAAUUGCAGUACUUGGACCUUUCUGAUAAUAAUUUAUCUGGAGGACUAACAGACUGCUGGAUGAAUUGGAAGUCGCUGCGUCAUGUUAAUCUGGGAGGCAACAAUCUUAGUGGCAACAUACCCCCAUCAAUGGCCUUCUUGUCGAAUCUCACAUCACUGCAUCUGCAUGAAAAUAAUUUGUCUGGGGACAUAUCUUCUUCAUCACUUCAGUAUUGCCGCUCCCUGUCCAUCCUUAAUGUCCGCGAGAAUAGCUUCUCUGGAAACAUACCAAAGUGGAUGCCGCAGAGUAUAAGGAUUCUCCAGUUAAGGUCCAACAAAUUCAUUGGUAACAUUCCCUCACAGAUAUGUCAAAUGCCUUUCCUCAUUGUUUUGGAUAUUGCAUAUAACAGAAUCUCAGGUCAUAUACCCAAAUGCCUAAACAAUAUCACAUCCUUUGUUGACAUGCACUAUUCAACCAGUUGGAUUUUCUACGAAUUCUUUGAUGGAGGGGCUUUCUUUAUAUACAGAGACAACCUUAUAUUGCUUGUAAAAGGUCAACAAUCGGAUUAUUAUAAAAACCUGAAGCUGAUGCGCAUGGUUGAUCUUUCAAGUAAUAAUCUGACAGGAACAAUGUCUCCACAACUGUUCAGCCUCUCUCAGUUGCAUUUCUUGAACCUAUCCCAUAACAGGCUAACAGGAACCAUACCAAAAGAGAUUGGGAGCAUGACACAACUGGAGUCUCUUGAUUUAUCCAAAAAUGAACUCACAGGACAGAUUCCUGAGAGUAUAUCCAGUUUGUCUUUCCUCGAUAACUUGAAC